GUUGGAUAGCUUCAACACC
Molecule: small nuclear RNA, 19 nt
Filed under: Arabidopsis thaliana (thale cress)
Lineage: Eukaryota; Viridiplantae; Streptophyta; Magnoliopsida; Brassicales; Brassicaceae
Description: snRNA_09963
Source: RNAcentral